Molecule: long non-coding RNA, 843 nt
Organism: Heterocephalus glaber (naked mole-rat)
Lineage: Eukaryota; Metazoa; Chordata; Mammalia; Rodentia; Bathyergidae
Source: Ensembl
UGUUUUCCUUUUGAUGGGACAGUUGGAGGUGACUUCAGAAAGACACAAGUAAAGGACUGAAGAUGGGAAAUAUUCUAGAGAUGCGAAAGAAAUACUAGGUUAUGUAGGGUUUACAAAGACGACAUUUCAGAAAGAAGCACAUUUGGAAAAAGAAAAAGUGGCAGGCCUGGAAUUGUUCCAAGAAGUCAGGAAAACAGGGCCAUUUAGCCGAAUGGGUCAUGCUUAGGGUCUCUUGGUGGUGAAGAUACUGAGCCAGGCUGUCCUCAUCUGAAGGCUCAAGGUGCUAGAGAAGCCACUUCCAACCUCAUCAGUGGCUGCAGGCCUUGUUCCUUGCCAGGCGGGUCUCUCUCCCUGGCUCUUUUGGACACAGCAGCUCGUUUCUACCAAAAAUUUCGAGGCUGUGGAGCAGAUGGUUUGAUCAAGGGCCUAGCAGCCUUUUCUUCGCUUGCUGUAAAAUGCCAGCUGUAAGAACUUCUGAGAUCACAGGGAGAAAGAAACUCUCAUCCUCUUGAUGGAAAAUGAAAAUCCUUGUAGCAUUUAUGAGACUUGGAGAGGAAGUGGCUGUUCACUUCAUGAUAUGGAGAACUACAUGGGGCAAAGGCCCAAAGCGCUGAGCCUGCUUUCCAUCAUGCUACACACAGUGAAGGACACAGACACGCCAGAUAGUCUAUAUUGGAUACAGAUGUCUCAAGAGGAGCAAGUUUAUUCUGUUCAACUGCUAUGGUAACACCAGCUGCUUAUGAAAUCAUGGGAUGAGAGGGGUGAGGAGGCCUCCAUGUUCAGACAUAUAUUUACAGUGAUUUUUACAAACCUCAUUAUUUCCAAAGAAGAGCAAGAUGAAAG